Molecule: ribosomal RNA, 403 nt
Filed under: bacterium
Lineage: Bacteria
Description: partial 16S ribosomal RNA
Rfam family: Bacterial small subunit ribosomal RNA
Source: RNAcentral
UGGGGAAUAUUGCACAAUGGGGGAAACCCUGAUGCAGCGACGCCGCGUGAACGAAGAAGGUAUUCGUAUCGUAAAGUUCUUUCCUAUGGGAAGAUAAUGACAGUACCAUAGAAGAAAGCUCCGGCUAAAUACGUUCCAGCAGCCGCGGUAAUACGUAUGGAGCGAGCGUUGUCCGGAAUUAUUGGGCGUAAAGGGUACGCAGGCGGUUUAAUAAGUCGAAUGUUAAAGAUCGGGGCUCAACCCCGCAAAGCAUUGGAAACUGAUAAACUUGAGUAGUGGAGAGGAGAGUGGAAUUCCUAGUGUAGUGGUGAAAUACGUAGAUAUUAGGAGGAAUACCAGUAGCGAAGGCGACUUUCUGGACACAAACUGACGCUGAGGUACGAAAGCGUGGGGAGCAAACAGG